This 821-nucleotide long non-coding RNA is filed under the name Homo sapiens (human). Its description in RNAcentral is "non-protein coding lnc-CXorf21-3:1". The record is from RNAcentral. Lineage: Eukaryota; Metazoa; Chordata; Mammalia; Primates; Hominidae.
AGCAGAGCCAUCCAGCUGCAUGGCAUGGGGCGGAGACGAGUACUGCCCUUUGGCAGGCAGCGCUCCUGGCCGGCGAAAAGAGCGCACUUCCACUAGUGUCCUGGGGCUCGCCUCCAUAGGGGUCUCAAAGUGUGUAGAACUGCUUGUUCCCUCCAGUGGGCUGUGCAGAGUCGUGCAGCGACGUGAGUCGCUGUGUGGACCUACCCGGCCCGGCCUUCCCGCGUUUCCCACGCCCCGCCCACCUCCCUGCAUCUGGCCCCUGGUAAUCGUAAUCAUUCCUUUGGCUGGGAUUGACCCCAUAUAGGGUCACCUCAAGGAGCAACGCGAAUCCUUCACCGUUGCAAGCUUUUCAGGGACAAGAAACGCGGAAGUUCUUUCGGUUUAGCAUUUAAGGAAAGCACCCAAAAUCAACCUCCCCAAGUUCCUCUAUCGACCAUUCAGGCAGAAGGCGCCCGGCACCACUCCGUCCUGACGCGCCCUUGCUCCUCGUUUGGCCUCACUCUGCGGUCCCCUCCCCCACACGCCAUUUCCUCUCCCUCCAUUAACUGCUUUGGAUGGCAGGGGACAGAAAAGGGACUCUCCCUUGACCUUGAAUUUACCUUGCCCGGAUCCUUCUGGAUCCUGUGUUCUAAGGGCUUUCAAACUUGGAACCAAGACCCACACUGUGAAACAGUUUACAAAACAAACCCAGGCUCCAGUGUGUGUGGGCGGGGAGCACAUUUGUAGUUACAAUUGUUACACAUGUAAAUACAUGUUAUAUACAUCUAAUAUACAUUUAUGUAUGUAUAGAAAAACUUUCCAAAACAAUAUUUGUCCUUCCA